UACGGAGGGUGCAAGCGUUAUCCGGAUUCACUGGGUUUAAAGGGUGCGUAGGUGGGAAUGUAAGUCAGUGGUGAAAUCUCCGUGCUUAACAUGGAAACUGCCAUUGAUACUAUGUUUCUUGAAUCUUCCGGAGGUCAGCGGAAUAUGUCAUGCAGCGGUGAAAUGCUUAGAUAUGACAUAGAACACCAAUUGCGAAGGCAGCUGACUACAGGGGCAUUGACACUGAGGCACGAAAGCGUGGGGAUCAAACAGG
Molecule: ribosomal RNA, 253 nt
Filed under: uncultured bacterium
Lineage: Bacteria
Description: partial 16S ribosomal RNA
Rfam family: Bacterial small subunit ribosomal RNA
Source: RNAcentral